ACGAAAUUCUGAUACAGUUUGCCAAGUCAGAUAGAAGGGGGAAAAAAUACCUUAAAAAGCCCGGUAGAAAGUAUAAACUAGGACCAAAUCAAAACAAGCGGUAGUGCAGAAGUAAAAGAAGAUUUUUUUAUUUACAAAGGCAUAUUAGUUAAACGAAGAUUGCGAAAAGAAGACGGAGAAGAGUCGGUAGGAGUGACGUAUCUCCGUUAGAGAG
Molecule: unclassified non-coding RNA, 214 nt
Filed under: Hevea brasiliensis (rubber tree)
Lineage: Eukaryota; Viridiplantae; Streptophyta; Magnoliopsida; Malpighiales; Euphorbiaceae
Source: RNAcentral